RNAcentral lists this ribosomal RNA (303 nucleotides) under uncultured bacterium. Its description in RNAcentral is "partial 16S ribosomal RNA". It matches the Rfam family "Bacterial small subunit ribosomal RNA", at positions 507 to 807 of the family's 1533-position model. The record is from RNAcentral.
AGCAGUCGCCGCGGUAAUACGUAGGGUGCAAGCGUUAAUCGGAAUUACUGGGCGUAAAGCGUGCGCAGGCGGUUAUAUAAGUCAGAUGUGAAAUCCCCGGGCUCAACCUGGGAACUGCAUUUGAGACUGUAUGGCUAGAGUGUGUCAGAGGGGGGUAGAAUUCCACGUGUAGCAGUGAAAUGCGUAGAUAUGUGGAGGAAUACCGAUGGCGAAGGCAGCCCCCUGGGAUAACACUGACGCUCAUGCACGAAAGCGUGGGGAGCAAACAGGAUUAGAUACCCGAGUAGUCCCUGUCUCUUAUAC